GACGAACGCUGGCGGCGCGCCUAACACAUGCAAGUCGAACGGAGCUGAGAGAAGCUUGCUUUUCUUAGCUUAGUGGCGAACGGGUGAGUAACGCGUGAGUAACCUGCCCUGGAGUGGGGGACAACAGUUGGAAACGACUGCUAAUACCGCAUAAGCCCACGAUCCGGCAUCGGAUUGAGGGAAAAGGAUUUAUUCGCUUCAGGAUGGACUCGCGUCCAAUUAGCUAGUUGGUGAGGUAACGGCCCACCAAGGCGACGAUUGGUAGCCGGACUGAGAGGUUGAACGGCCACAUUGGGACUGAGACACGGCCCAGACUCCUACGGGAGGCAGCAGUGGGGGAUAUUGCACAAUGGGGGAAACCCUGAUGCAGCGACGCCGCGUGGAGGAAGGAGGUUUUCGGAUUGUAAACUCCUGUCGUUAGGGACGAUAAUGACGGUACCUAACAAGAAAGCACCGGCUAACUACGUG
This 468-nucleotide ribosomal RNA is filed under the name uncultured bacterium. RNAcentral describes it as "partial 16S ribosomal RNA". It matches the Rfam family "Bacterial small subunit ribosomal RNA", at positions 28 to 507 of the family's 1533-position model. The record is from RNAcentral.